Molecule: ribosomal RNA, 496 nt
Filed under: uncultured bacterium
Lineage: Bacteria
Description: bacterial SSU rRNA
Rfam family: Bacterial small subunit ribosomal RNA
Source: RNAcentral
GAUGAACGCUAGCUACAGGCUUAACACAUGCAAGUCGAGGGGCAGCGGGAUUGAAGCUUGCUUCAAUUGCCGGCGACCGGCGCACGGGUGAGUAACGCGUAUCCAACCUUCCGUACACUCAGGGAUAGCCUUUCGAAAGAAAGAUUAAUACCUGAUGGUAUGAUGAGAUUGCAUGAUAGCAUCAUUAAAGAUUUAUCGGUGUACGAUGGGGAUGCGUUCCAUUAGGUAGUAGGCGGGGUAACGGCCCACCUAGCCUACGAUGGAUAGGGGUUCUGAGAGGAAGGUCCCCCACAUUGGAACUGAGACACGGUCCAAACUCCUACGGGAGGCAGCAGUGAGGAAUAUUGGUCAAUGGACGAGAGUCUGAACCAGCCAAGUAGCGUGAAGGAUGACUGCCCUAUGGGUUGUAAACUUCUUUUAUACGGGGAAUUAAAAGUGAGGCAUGUGUGCCUUUUUGAUGUACCGUAUGAAUAAGGAUCGGCUAACUCCGUGCCAG